ACGAACGCUGGCGGCGUGCUUCACACAUGCAAGUCGAACGGGUCUGCCCUGUUUUUUGCGGGGUGGGUCAGUGGCGAACGGGUGAGUAACACGUGAGUAACCUGCCCCUCACUUCUGGAUAACCGCUUGAAAGGGUGGCUAAUACGGGGUGUUCUGGCUGUGCCGCAUGGUGUGGCUGGGAAAGAUUCACUUUUGUGGUGUUUUUGUGGGGGAUGGGCUCGCGGCCUAUCAGCUUGUUGGUGGGGUGAUGGCCUGCCAAGGCUUUGACGGGUAGCCGGCCUGAGAGGGUGGGCGGUCACACUGGGACUGAGAUACGGCCCAGACUCCUGCGGGAGGCAGCAGUGGGGGGUAUUGCACAAUGGGCGGAAGCCUGAUGCAGCGACGUCGCGUGAGGGAUGGAGGCCUUCGGGUUGUGAACCUCUUUCGCCGGUGAAGAAGGUCCUGCUCUUUGUGGUGGGGUUGACGGUAGCCGGGUUAUGAAGCGCCGGCUAACUACGUG
RNAcentral lists this ribosomal RNA (499 nucleotides) under uncultured bacterium. RNAcentral describes it as "partial 16S ribosomal RNA". It matches the Rfam family "Bacterial small subunit ribosomal RNA", at positions 29 to 507 of the family's 1533-position model. The record is from RNAcentral.